Molecule: long non-coding RNA, 1091 nt
Organism: Amphimedon queenslandica
Lineage: Eukaryota; Metazoa; Porifera; Demospongiae; Haplosclerida; Niphatidae
Exons: 6
Source: RefSeq, a predicted model, not a curated record
UACACACCCAAGAGUUACCAUGCAUGAUCCGUGAAUGAUGGGUAUCAGGCCUGGACCAGGUUUGAUUCUAUAACGGUCCAGCAUCGACGGCCAUCACUGCUGAAUCGAGGCUGUUGCUCUGGCCUGGACCAGUAUCUAUUUCAGUCCCGAUGUAGUCAUAGCUGAUACAGUAAUGUCUGUUCGUCAGCACUGGUCCAGGCUGUAUAUCAGUACUGGAUCAGAUCGAUGCUUUUCAAGAUGGCAGCCCCGAGUGGACUACCUGACAUGUUUUGUUAAAGAAAAUCAUCUUAAUCUGACUCUUUAAGAGAAAUCUCGUUGGCUGUACACACUAGGGCUAAAUCACUGGAUGUUAUUAUUGAGCCAAACAUUGAAACAGAGCCAGAAGACCUUUCUGCAAUAAUCAUGACACUAGUGAAGACGAUGAGAAAUCAGGCGUAAAAAUGGUUCACUACAUGUGAUUGUAACUAUGUUUUUAAUUAGGGUGAAUGUAUUAGUGAUCAUGAUGAUGAAGAUAUUGUACUGAGAGACUUAUGAAUGAUAGUCACAAGUGUGAAUUUUUGAUACGGAAGAUUAUUCUGGAAAUAUUAGUAUAGUAGGUGCUCCUUUAAUUCAUAUUAAUUUAUUAAUUUAGCAAGGCCACUAGUAUACAUUGUAUAGUUACCUUAUCUCACUAAGUUUCAAGACAAGAAUAUCUUAGGUUUGUUUAAUUUCAUGUGAAAAGCUAAAUUCAUUAUUCAGGUUGUGAUGAACUGAAACUUUCUUGUUUAAAGCUCUUGUUAAGUUCACUUCAAAUAGCAUUGAAUUUUUUUGUGAACCUGCCUUCAUCAUGCUGGUUAAGGAAGUUAUGUUAUGGAUCUAAGCUUUGUAGGACUAUGUGUUACAAGAUACCUUUGAAAGAUCUGCUUCACUACAUGGAACCCCAGAGUUCAUUAAUGUUGGGAGAUUUUGGGAAAUUAAUUUCUCAGUAAUGUGUCUUAAGUUACAAAACAUGAAGUGUCUUACUUGUGGAACAUUGGUAGACUAUGAUGAAGAAAACAAUUAUAAUCUUUUUUUGGUUUUAAUAAUAAUUCCAAAUCAUUUUAAAUUAAUAA